GAAUUCGCCCUUAGAGUUUGAUCCUGGCUCAGGAUGAACGCUGGCGGCGCGCCUAACACAUGCAAGUCGAACGGUUAAAGCACCUUCGGGUGUGUAUAAAGUGGCGAACGGCUGAGUAACACGUGGGCAACCUGCCCCUCGCACCGGGAUAGCCUCGGGAAACCGUGGUUAAUACCGGAUACUCCGGGACCCCCGCAUGGGGGUGCCGGGAAAGCCCUGACGGCGAGGGAUGGGCCCGCGGCCUGUUAGCUUGUUGGCGGGGUAACGGCCCACCAAGGCGAUUAUGGGUAGCCGGGUUGAGAGACCGACCGGCCAGAUUGGGACUGAGACACGGCCCAGACUCCUACGGGAGGCAGCAGUGGGGAAUCUUGCACAAUGGGCGAAAGCCUGAUGCAGCGACGCCGCGUGCGGGACGAAGGCCUUCGGGUUGUAAACCGCUUUCAGCAGGGACGAGGCCGCAAGGUGACGGUACCUGCAGAAGAAGCCCCGGCUAACUACGUGCCAGCAGCCGCGGUAAUACGUAGGGGGCGAGCGUUAUCCGGAUUUAUUGGGCGUAAAGGGUGCGCAGGCGGCCUGCCAAGUUCGAGGUGAAAGCGUUGGGCUCAACCCAAUACAGCUUCGAAUACUGGCAGGCUCGAGUGCAGGAGAGGAUGUCGGAAUUCCAUGUGUAGCGGUAAAAUGCGUAGAUAUAUGGAGGAACACCAGCGGCGAAGGCGGACAUCUGGCCUGCAACUGACGCUGAGGCACGAAAGCGUGGGGAGCAAAUAGGAUUAGAUACCCUAGUAGUCCACGCCCUAAACGAUGAGAACUAGGUGUUGGAGCGAUCCAGUGCUGCAGCUAACGCAAUAAGUUCUCCGCCUGAGGAGUAUGCACGCAAGUGUGAAACUUAAAGGAAUUGACGGGGCCCCGCACAAGCGGUGGAGUAUGCGGUUUAAUUCGACGCAACGCGAAGAACCUUACCAGGCCUUGACAUCCCCUGCAAAUCCAUGGAGACAUGGCAGGAGGCCAUCAGGGUGACAGGUGGUGCAUGGUUGUCGUCAGCUCGUGUCGUGAGAUGUUGGGUUAAGUCCCGCAACGAGCGCAACCCCUGUCUUCAGUUACCAUCAUUCGGUUGGGGACUCUGGAGAGACUGCCGGUGACAAACCGGAGGAAGGUGGGGAUGACGUCAAAUCAUCAUGCCCCUUAUGUCUAGGGCUACACACGUGCUACAAUGGCAAGUACAAAGAGAAGCAAGACCGUGAGGUGGAGCAAAACUCAAAAACUUGUCUCAGUUCGGAUUGUAGGCUGAAACUCGCCUACAUGAAGCUGGAGUUGCUAGUAAUCGCGAAUCAGCAUGUCGCGGUGAAUACGUUCCCGGGCCUUGUACUCACCGCCCGUCA
This 1379-nucleotide ribosomal RNA is filed under the name uncultured bacterium. RNAcentral describes it as "bacterial SSU rRNA". It matches the Rfam family "Bacterial small subunit ribosomal RNA". The record is from RNAcentral.